Molecule: ribosomal RNA, 577 nt
Filed under: Mucor circinelloides
Lineage: Eukaryota; Fungi; Mucoromycota; Mucoromycetes; Mucorales; Mucoraceae
Description: partial 28S ribosomal RNA
Rfam family: Eukaryotic large subunit ribosomal RNA
Source: RNAcentral
UGAUAUGUUUUCAAAGAGUCAGGUUGUUUGGGAAUGCAGCCUAAAUUGGGUGGUAAAUCUCACCUAAAGCUAAAUAUUUGCGAGAGACCGAUAGCGAACAAGUACCGUGAGGGAAAGAUGAAAAGAACUUUGAAAAGAGAGUUAAACAGUAUGUGAAAUUGUUAAAAGGGAACCGUUUGGAGCCAGACUGGUUUGACUGUAAUCAACCUAGAAUUCUCUGGGUGCACUUGCAGUCUAUACCUGCCAACAACAGUUUGAUUUGGAGGAAAAAAUUAGUAGGAAUGUAGCCUCUCGAGGUGUUAUAGCCUACUAUCAUACUCUGGAUUGGACUGAGGAACGCAGCGAAUGCCUUUAGGCAAGAUUGCUGGGUGCUUUCGCUAAUAAAUGUUAGAAUUUCUGCUUCGGGUGGUGCUAAUGUUUAAAGGAGGAACACAUCUAGUAUAUUUUUUAUUCGCUUAGGUUGUUGGCUUAAUGACUCUAAAUGACCCGUCUUGAAACACGGACCAAGGAGUCCACCAUAAGUGCAAGUAUUUGAGUGACAAACUCAUAUGCGUAAGGAAACUGAUUGAUACGAAAU